This 497-nucleotide ribosomal RNA is filed under the name uncultured bacterium. RNAcentral describes it as "partial 16S ribosomal RNA". It matches the Rfam family "Bacterial small subunit ribosomal RNA", at positions 28 to 507 of the family's 1533-position model. The record is from RNAcentral.
GAUGAACGCUGGCGGCGUGCCUAAUACAUGCAAGUCGAGCGAACAGAUAAGGAGCUUGCUCCUUUGACGUUAGCGGCGGACGGGUGAGUAACACGUGGGUAACAUACCUAUAAGACUGGGAUAACUUCGGGAAACCGGAGCUAAUACCGGCUAAUCUUUCCAACCGCAUGGUUCGAUAGUGUAAGAUGGUUUUGCUAUCACUUAUAGAUGGACCCGCGCCGUAUUAGCUAGUUGGUAAGGUAACGGCUUACCAAGGCGACGAUACGUAGCCGACCUGAGAGGGUGAUCGGCCACACUGGAACUGAGACACGGUCCAGACUCCUACGGGAGGCAGCAGUAGGGAAUCUUCCGCAAUGGGCGAAAGCCUGAUGGAGCAACGCUGCGUGAGUGAUGAAGGUCUUCGGAUCGUAAAACUCUGUUAUUAGGGAAGAACAUACGUGUAAGUAACUGUGCACGUCUUGACGGUACCUAAUCAGAAAGCCACGGCUAACUACGUG